GAUAUGAUGACCAAGACCUUAAAUAUAUCAAAUACUCCUCAAACUCCAUCUCCUUCUCUGCCGCAAACUCCGUUAUCGGCUCCUCCCCAUCCACCGCCUCGAAUGGGAACUCAAUCGUUUUAUACUCUUCAUCAACCAACCGCCUUGGUGCCUCCCAAUAAGGCCCAAAAUCUGUUUUGUAGAUGCGGCGGAGGACAGUGUCGAUACCAUUAUUGACUUCGGGCAAUGAGUAGCACCAGGCCGCAAUCACGCCGUGAGGUUUCUUCAAGACCCAUCGUACGUUUUGGUAGAAAGAUGGGAGGUUGAACCAAUGGAGGGCUUGUGCCACAGUGACUAAGUCGACAGACCCCGGUGGUGCCACCAUUUUCUCGACUUCCUCGAUGGACAUUGUCGACGGGGUGUGGUGG
RNAcentral lists this long non-coding RNA (407 nucleotides) under Cucumis sativus (cucumber). RNAcentral's name for it is "long non-coding RNA (CSAT_LNC001617)". Lineage: Eukaryota; Viridiplantae; Streptophyta; Magnoliopsida; Cucurbitales; Cucurbitaceae. The record is from RNAcentral.